AUUGAACGCUGGCGGCAGGCCUAACACAUGCAAGUCGCACGCGUGGCGGACGGGUGAGUAAUGUCUGGGAAACUGCCCGAUGGAGGGGGAUAACUACUGUAAACGGUAGCUCAUACCGCAUACCAUCGGAUGUGCCCCGAUGGGCUUAGCUAGUAGGUUGGGUAACGGCUCACCUAGGCGACAACCCCUAGCUGGGCUGAGAGUCUGACCAGAAUCACGGGAACUGUGACACGGUCCAGAGGCCUACGCGGGGAAGCAGUGGGGAAGAGUGGACAAGGGGGGCGAGGCUGAUGCAGCCAGGACGCGUGGAUGAAAGAGGCCAGCGGGUUGUAGAGUACUGGCGGCGAGGAGGCGUGUCCCGCAGAGGAAGAAGCGGCUAACUCCGUGCCAGCAGCCGCGGUAAUAC
RNAcentral lists this ribosomal RNA (406 nucleotides) under uncultured bacterium. RNAcentral describes it as "partial 16S ribosomal RNA". It matches the Rfam family "Bacterial small subunit ribosomal RNA", at positions 29 to 526 of the family's 1533-position model. The record is from RNAcentral.